UACGAAGGGGGCUAGCGUUGUUCGGAAUUACUGGGCGUAAAGCGCACGUAGGCGGAUGUGCCAGUCAGGGGUGAAAUCCCGAGGCUCAACCUCGGAACUGCCUCCGAUACAGCACGUCUCGAGUCCGGAAGAGGUGAGUGGAAUUCCUAGUGUAGAGGUGAAAUUCGUAGAUAUUGGGAAGAACACCAGUGGCGAAGGCGGCUAACUGGUCCGGUACUGACGCUGAGGUGCGAAAGCGUGGGGAGCAAACAGG
This 253-nucleotide ribosomal RNA is filed under the name uncultured bacterium. RNAcentral's name for it is "partial 16S ribosomal RNA". It matches the Rfam family "Bacterial small subunit ribosomal RNA", at positions 524 to 776 of the family's 1533-position model. The record is from RNAcentral.